CCUUGGCUUAUGCAUGUAUGUCUGCUUUUAUUCCCAAAUACCUGUAUAACUUCUUCUUAAAAGACAACUCACAUGUAAUACAAGAGUAUCUGACUGUCUUCUCUCAGAUGAUUGCAUUUCAUGAUCCAGAGCUGAGUAAUCAUCUCAAUGAGAUUGGCUUCAUUCCAGAUAUGUAUUUCCACUACACAAAAUUUUCCACCUCUGGGAUACCUUACUACUUGGGAAUUCCUCUUUCCCAUUCUGUAUUGGAGUAGCAAUUCUUCAGCAGCUGCGGGACCGGCUUUUGGCUAAUGGCUUUAAUGAGUGUAUUCUUCUCUUCUCCGAUUUACCAGAUGCAGAAAAGGCCUUCAACAAAAUUCAACAGCCUUUCAUGCUAAAAACUCUCAAUAAACUAGGUAUUGAUGGAAUGUAUCUCAACAUAAUAAGAGCUAUUUGUGACGGACCCACAGCCAAUAUCAUACUGAAUGGGCAAAAACUGGAAGGAUUCCCUUUGAAAACUGGCACAGGACAAGGAUGCCCUCUCACACCACUCCUAUUCAACGUAGUUUUGGACUUUCUGGCCAGGGCAGUCAGGCAAGAGAAAGAAAUAAAGG
This 593-nucleotide small RNA is filed under the name Pan troglodytes (chimpanzee). RNAcentral's name for it is "processed transcript". Lineage: Eukaryota; Metazoa; Chordata; Mammalia; Primates; Hominidae. The record is from RNAcentral.